Ribosomal RNA from Macadamia integrifolia, 156 nucleotides. RefSeq annotates it as 5.8S ribosomal RNA. The record is from RefSeq and is a predicted model, not a curated record. The transcript has a single exon. Lineage: Eukaryota; Viridiplantae; Streptophyta; Magnoliopsida; Proteales; Proteaceae.
GACUCUCGAAAAUGGAUAUCUCAGCUUUUGCAUCGAUGAAGAACGUAGCGAAAUGCGAUACAUGGUGUGAAUUGCAGAAUCCCACGAACCAUCGAGUCUUUGAACGAAAGUUAAGCCCUAGGCCAUCGGGCUAAGGGCACGCCUGCUUGGGCAUCA